AUACGUAGGGUGCAAGCGUUAAUCGGAAUUACUGGGCGUAAAGCGUGCGCAGGCGGUUCGGAAAGAAAGAUGUGAAAUCCCAGAGCUUAACUUUGGAAUGGCACUUUUAACUCCCGAGCUAGAGUAUGUCAGAGGGGGGUAGAAUUCCACGUGUAGCAGUGAAAUGCGUAGAUAUGUGGAGGAAUACCGAUGGCGAAGGCAGCCCCCUGGGAUAAUACUGACGCUCAGACACGAAAGCGUGGGGAGC
Molecule: ribosomal RNA, 247 nt
Filed under: uncultured bacterium
Lineage: Bacteria
Description: partial 16S ribosomal RNA
Rfam family: Bacterial small subunit ribosomal RNA
Source: RNAcentral